This 85-nucleotide transfer RNA is filed under the name Planctomycetota bacterium. Its description in RNAcentral is "tRNA-Leu". It matches the Rfam family "tRNA". From Rfam's summary of the family: Transfer RNA (tRNA) molecules are approximately 80 nucleotides in length. The record is from RNAcentral. Lineage: Bacteria; Pseudomonadati; Planctomycetota. RNAcentral also lists the same sequence under 1 other name.
GCGAGGAUGGCGGAAUUGGCAGACGCGCUAGACUUAGGAUCUAGUGGGGUAACCCGUGGGGGUUCGAAUCCCCCUCCUCGCACCA